This 1006-nucleotide long non-coding RNA is filed under the name Equus caballus (horse). Its description in RNAcentral is "lncRNA (ENSECAG00000033375.3)". Lineage: Eukaryota; Metazoa; Chordata; Mammalia; Perissodactyla; Equidae. The record is from RNAcentral.
AAAGCAUUGAUCUAAUCCAGCUCAGCUGGGGCAGACAGGCUGGUCUAGAGACUGGCCCCCCCCAACAGCAAGCCCUCAGGCAACUUGUGGGCCCACAUAGGUGGGGUACCUGGAACCUCUGCAGCCAGGAUAAUUAUCAAGCUUGAUCAGUCUGCUUAGGCUCCUGUAUAUCAAGACAACAAUCCCAACAUUUCAGUGCUUGUAACAAGAAAUGAUUAUUUCUCUUCAUGCUGCAUGGUCAUCACAGUUAGGCUGAGUCUCUGCUCCACAUUAUUUUUAGAAAAGUACCAGGGCUGAAGGAACAGACCUCAUCUAGGACAACUCCAUCUUGAGGCAGAGGAGAAGAGAAGACGAAACGGUCUUAAGGAAGCAAUAAGAGAUGUGAAAAAACUGCACAUCAGGGAUGCUCAGCGUUUACUGAGAGAAAAACUGGACAGGCUGACAAUAGCUCACAUACUUCGAGCUCUUGCACUCGCUGUGCGAGAUACUUCUGUGCGCAGCCUGGCAGUGAGCAGCGCCCUGGGAUCCAAGGCCUGAAGGAUCCUGAAUGUUCCAUGCUGCCCAACAGGUUGUUGGUCAUACUGGCUAGAUUACAUGGGGCACUGACAGGGAGACUGAGCACUCUCGCGCGCAAUGAGUCACUACCAGAAGGAUGGUCCAUGGGGGCGUUGCCGCGCACCAUCUAUUGCUUAUCCUCAGCGCACAGUAAUGCAGAGGACAGGGGUCCCCGAGGCAACUCCACACAGAUGAGGAAAAUGAAGCUUAAGGAAGUCAAGACAAGUGUUUAGAGUCACACACUCUAUGAGGAAACUGAGAGAGAAGAGUAGGAGAAGAAAAUCAGCGUCUUUGACCCAAUAAAUCGCCAUCCUCUGAACAGAAUUGAGAAUGGACAUUAAUUCCUUAAAAGGUGUUCUCUCUCUUGCCCUCCAAAAAAAAUCAAUGCCUUAUAAAAAUGUGAUCUUUGGCCUCUGCACUGAGUGCAGAAUUUAACUAGCAUAGAAAAAAA